Molecule: ribosomal RNA, 801 nt
Filed under: Weissella cibaria
Lineage: Bacteria; Bacillati; Bacillota; Bacilli; Lactobacillales; Lactobacillaceae
Description: bacterial SSU rRNA
Rfam family: Bacterial small subunit ribosomal RNA
Source: RNAcentral
CAUGCAGUCGAACGCUUUGUGGUUCAACUGAUUUGAAGAGCUUGCUCAGAUAUGACGAUGGACAUUGCAAAGAGUGGCGAACGGGUGAGUAACACGUGGGAAACCUACCUCUUAGCAGGGGAUAACAUUUGGAAACAGAUGCUAAUACCGUAUAACAAUAGCAACCGCAUGGUUGCUACUUAAAAGAUGGUUCUGCUAUCACUAAGAGAUGGUCCCGCGGUGCAUUAGUUAGUUGGUGAGGUAAUGGCUCACCAAGACGAUGAUGCAUAGCCGAGUUGAGAGACUGAUCGGCCACAAUGGGACUGAGACACGGCCCAUACUCCUACGGGAGGCAGCAGUAGGGAAUCUUCCACAAUGGGCGAAAGCCUGAUGGAGCAACGCCGCGUGUGUGAUGAAGGGUUUCGGCUCGUAAAACACUGUUGUAAGAGAAGAAUGACAUUGAGAGUAACUGUUCAAUGUGUGACGGUAUCUUACCAGAAAGGAACGGCUAAAUACGUGCCAGCAGCCGCGGUAAUACGUAUGUUCCAAGCGUUAUCCGGAUUUAUUGGGCGUAAAGCGAGCGCAGACGGUUAUUUAAGUCUGAAGUGAAAGCCCUCAGCUCAACUGAGGAAUUGCUUUGGAAACUGGAUGACUUGAGUGCAGUAGAGGAAAGUGGAACUCCAUGUGUAGCGGUGAAAUGCGUAGAUAUAUGGAAGAACACCAGUGGCGAAGGCGGCUUUCUGGACUGUAACUGACGUUGAGGCUCGAAAGUGUGGGUAGCAAACAGGAUUAGAUACCCUGGUAGUCCACACCGUAAACGAU